GAUGAAGAACGCAGUGAAAUGCGAUAAGUAAUGUGAAUUGCAGAAUUCAGUGAAUCAUCGAAUCUUUGAACGCACAUUGCGCCCGCCAGUAUUCUGGCGGGCAUGCCUGUUCGAGCGUCAUUACAACCCUCAGGCCCCCGGGCCUGGCGUUGGGGAUCGGCGGAAGCCCCCUGCGGGCACAACGCCGUCCCCCAAAUACAGUGGCGGUCCCGCCGCAGCUUCCAUUGCGUAGUAGCUAACACCUCGCAACUGGAGAGCGGCGCGGCCACGCCGUAAAACACCCAACUUCUGAAUGUUGACCUCGAAUCAGGUAGGAAUACCCACUGAACUUAAGCAUAUCAAUAAGCGGAGGA
This 353-nucleotide unclassified non-coding RNA is filed under the name soil metagenome. Its description in RNAcentral is "partial contains 5.8S ribosomal RNA, internal transcribed spacer 2, and large subunit ribosomal RNA". The stretch from base 1 to 120 matches the Rfam family "5.8S ribosomal RNA", at positions 35 to 154 of the family's 154-position model. The record is from RNAcentral.